UACUUGGUUGAUCCUGCCAAGGAAGCACACUUAGGUCAUAGAUUAAGCCAUGCAAGUGUUAGUUCAGGUAACGAAACUGCGAAUAGCUCAUUAAUACGCUCAGAAUCUAUUUGGCGGCGACCAACAGGUCUUAAAUGGAUAGCAGCAGCAACUCUGGUGCUAAUACAUGCGAUUGUUUCUCCAGAUGUGAAUUAUGGAGGAAAAGUUGACCUCAUCAGAGGCACGCCAUUCGACUGAGUGACCUAUCAGCUUGUACUUAGGGUCUUUACCUAGGUAGGCUAUCACGGGUAACGGGCGGUUACCGUCGGACUGCCGGAGAAGGCGCCUGAGAGAUAGCGACUAUAUCCACGGGUAGCAGCAGGCGCGAAACUUUCCCACUCGAGACUUUCGGAGGAGGUAAUGACCAGUUCCAUUGGUGCCUUUUGGUACUGUGGAUAGGGGUACGGUUUUCCACCGUACCGAAACCUAGCAGAGGGCCAGUCUGGUGCCAGCAGCUGCGGUAAUUCCAGCUCUGCGAGUUUGCUCCCAUAUUGUUGCAGUUAAAACGCCCGUAGUCUGAAUUGGCCAGCAAUGGUCGUACGUAUUUUUACGUUCACUGUGAACAAAUCAGGACGCUUAGAGUAUGGCCACAUGAAUGACUCAGCGCAGUAUGAAGUCUUUGUUUUCUUCCGAAAACAAGCUCAAUGAGAGCCAUCGGGGGUAGAUCUAUCUCAUGACGAGUGGUGGAAUACUUUGACUCAUGAGAGAGAAGCUGAGGCGAAGGCGUCUACCUAGAGGGUUUCUGUCGAUCAAAGGGCGA
This 799-nucleotide non-coding RNA is filed under the name Trichomonas vaginalis G3. RNAcentral's name for it is "Eukaryotic small subunit ribosomal RNA". It matches the Rfam family "Eukaryotic small subunit ribosomal RNA", at positions 1 to 986 of the family's 1831-position model. The record is from Rfam by way of RNAcentral. Lineage: Eukaryota; Parabasalia; Trichomonadida; Trichomonadidae.